UCUCUCCCCUCACCAGCUCCUCGGCCAUAUGUUAGGAAAUUGCUGAUAAAAUUUUCCCCAGUCACCAUCACUGAGUCAGUGUCCCAUCUUAUGCAGAGCUGAGAAAAAGAGCAAUGGAUUAAUAGGGAAGGACAUUUUAAAUGCAGAUGCUUGUGUUGGUUUUGCUUAAUGCCCCUGAAAGUGUUUUAGUGAACAGUUGUGAGGAGUCUAAUGAAUGGCUGUGACAAACAUGCACACAGAAAGAAAAACUGUUCAGAUGCAUUUCUGUCUCCCUAGCCCCAGCAGCCCCUCUGGAAUGGAAAACAUAGUUCUGACCUACUUGCUUUCAGUAGACUGCAAUUAUAGCGCCUAUCAAUUUUCUAUAAAAAUACAGAUGUGAACAAAUGGAAAACCUGAGUGGCUCAAACAUGAGCAGAAUAAGAAUGUUACUCCCUCCCCUAGGCUCCAGCUCCUGCCAAGUUUUCCUUUUUCCAGGCUGAAAAGGAAAACUAGGUGAAAUGGAAGUAGAACAUCAAAAUAACUGUUCACAUUUUAUUUUGAAAUAUGUGCCAGCCUUUGUACACAAACAAAACAUGCCAUGGUAUCUGUCUGCCUACUGCCUACACGUGCAUAUUUUUCCCCAAAGGGAUGUCUCCGUAUUUGCUGUGGGUAAUUACUGGUUGCCUUUGUGAAAGAUUACUUUUGGUCUUGAAAUUUCAUUUGGUUUCUCAUAGCACAGUUUCUGCUGCCCACUUAAAGGCAAGGGCCUGAGCCAGGUGUCCAAAAGCAGACACAGCAAUCUAGCCCCAGUCUCCUCAAACCCUAAAGAAUGUUCAUUUGCUUGAUCUGCUGAUUGCAGUUUUGCUAUCCCACCCCAUGUCUGCUGCUAGAGCUCAUCUUAGAACAAUAACUGUGACUCCACAGGAAAGGCAGAAAGCGACAAAUGAGUUUACUGACUUUUGAGUUACUCACAUGCGGGGACACUUCUAGGCUUGAACAGAUGACGGAGCAUCUGGUGAGGGGUGCAGCUGGCCUAGAGAGCACAGGCAAAUUGCUUGCACCUGUGCACCCCCUCUGACCCAGGGUGGAAGCACCCUGGGCUCAUACAAGGGCCGGAUACAGAAAGGAGACUACCUCCUGGACUUAGGUGCUUUUUUGUGAAAGAGUGUUGUGUUGGUAGAGAGCACCUUCACCAGGAGAGCUGCGCAGUACAACUGCUGAAGCUGUACUGCAGAGCGCUGCUGUCAUCUUGCAUAGCUGCAGCCUCUUCCACCUCAGCCCUAGGAGUGCAGUGCUGGGGCUGUAAGUCAAUCCCACAGCUGUGAUGGAAGUGAUUCAAAGGUCUGCAAGAGGGAUAGCAACAUAGAAAGUCUUUAUGAACAGGAUAAUGAAAUAACAAAAAAAAAAAAAAAAAAAAAAAAAAAAAACACCAACAAAAAAAAACAGAAUGAACAA
Long non-coding RNA from Tympanuchus pallidicinctus (lesser prairie-chicken), 1434 nucleotides. RefSeq lists it as uncharacterized. Lineage: Eukaryota; Metazoa; Chordata; Aves; Galliformes; Phasianidae. The transcript has 2 exons. The record is from RefSeq and is a predicted model, not a curated record.